Molecule: unclassified non-coding RNA, 263 nt
Filed under: plant metagenome
Description: partial contains small subunit ribosomal RNA, internal transcribed spacer 1, and 5.8S ribosomal RNA
Source: RNAcentral
UUUCCGUAGGUGAACCUGCGGAAGGAUCAUUAUUGUAUAACCGAGGUGCGAGGGCUGUCGCUGACCCGAAAGGUCGUGCACGCCCGAGUGCCCUCAGACACAUCCACCUCACCCCUAUGUGCACCACCGCGUGGGUCCCCCUUUGGCUUGUUCGGAGGGGGGCUUACGUUUUCACACAAACUUUGUAUGCAGUGUAGAAUGUAUCUUUUGUUUUUGCGAUCACGCAAUCAAUACAACUUUCAACAACGGAUCUCUUGGCUCUC